Small nucleolar RNA from Protopterus annectens (West African lungfish), 129 nucleotides. RefSeq annotates it as small nucleolar RNA SNORA38. Lineage: Eukaryota; Metazoa; Chordata; Ceratodontiformes; Protopteridae. The record is from RefSeq and is a predicted model, not a curated record. The transcript has a single exon.
UCCUCCUACAAAGGCGUGCUUGUAUUGUUUUGCUUACAAGCACGUAAGAACAGGAGGCAGAAAAAUCUGAAUGGAUAGUUUUGACAAGGAACUGCAGUGUGCAGUUCUAUCACUGUAAUUCAGACAGCU